AUUGAACGCUGGCGGUAUGCUUUACACAUGCAAGUCGAGCGGCAGCACGGUGACAACUCUGGUGGCGAGGGGCGAACGGGCGAGUAAUACAUCGGAACAUGCGCAUCUGCGGUUGAUAGCACGUUGACGGAAGGGAUAAUACCGCAUACGCCCAUAGGGCGUACGCGGGAGAUCGCAAGACCUUGGGCGAUUGCAGGGUUCGAUGUCCGAUUAGCUAGUUGGUGGGGUAAAGGCCUACCAAGGCAACGAUCUGUAGCUGGUCUGAGAGGAUGAUCAGCCACACUGGAACUGAGACACGGUCCAGACUCCUACGGGAGGCAGCAGUGGGGAAUUUUGGACAAUGGGGGCAAGCCUGAUCCAGCCAUACCGCGUGAGUGAAGAAGGCCUUCGGGUUGUAAAGCUCUUUUGGCAGGAAAGAAACGCAGAACGCUAAUAUAGCGCGGUACUGACGGUACCUAAAGAAUAAGCACCGGCUAACUUCGUG
Molecule: ribosomal RNA, 484 nt
Filed under: uncultured bacterium
Lineage: Bacteria
Description: partial 16S ribosomal RNA
Rfam family: Bacterial small subunit ribosomal RNA
Source: RNAcentral